GUGCAGCAGGCGCGAAAACUUUACAAUGCCGGCAACGGCGAUAAGGGGACCUCGAGUGCCAGGUUACAAAUCUGGCUGUCGUGAUGCCUAAAAAGCAUUGCAUAGCAAGGGCCGGGCAAGACCGGUGCCAGCCGCCGCGGUAACACCGGCGGCUCGAGUGGUAACCGUUAUUAUUGGGUCUAAAGGGUCUGUAGCCGGCCGGAUAAGUCUCUUGAGAAAUCUGGCAGCUUAACUGUCAGGCUUUCAGGAGAUACUGUCUGGCUCGAGGCCGGGAGAGGUGAGAGGUACUUCAGGGGUAGGGGUGAAAUCUUGUAAUCCUUGAAGGACCACCAGUGGCGAAGGCGUCUCACCAGAACGGACCUGACGGCAAGGGACGAAAGCUAGGGGCACGAACCGGAUUAGAUACCCGGGUAGUCCUAGCCGUAAACGAUACUCGCUAGGUGUCGGCCACGGUGCGACCGUUGUCGGUGCCGUAGGGAAGCCGUGAAGCGAGC
RNAcentral lists this ribosomal RNA (494 nucleotides) under uncultured archaeon. RNAcentral's name for it is "bacterial SSU rRNA". It matches the Rfam family "Archaeal small subunit ribosomal RNA", at positions 330 to 824 of the family's 1478-position model. The record is from RNAcentral.